RNAcentral lists this ribosomal RNA (882 nucleotides) under uncultured bacterium. Its description in RNAcentral is "bacterial SSU rRNA". It matches the Rfam family "Bacterial small subunit ribosomal RNA", at positions 613 to 1500 of the family's 1533-position model. The record is from RNAcentral.
CCUGGGAACUGCAUUUGUGACUGCAAGGCUAGAGUACGGUAGAGGGGGAUGGAAUUCCGCGUGUAGCAGUGAAAUGCGUAGAUAUGCGGAGGAACACCAAUGGCGAAGGCAAUCCCCUGGACCUGUACUGACGCUCAUGCACGAAAGCGUGGGGAGCAAACAGGAUUAGAUACCCUGGUAGUCCACGCCCUAAACGAUGUCAACUGGUUGUUGGACGGCUUGCUGUUCAGUAACGAAGCUAACGCGUGAAGUUGACCGCCUGGGGAGUACGGCCGCAAGGUUGAAACUCAAAGGUUUUGACGGGGACCCGCACAAGCGGUGGAUGAUGUCGUUUGGUUCGAUGCAAUCCCAAAAACCUUACCUACCCUUGACAUGUCAAGAAAAUUGCAGAGAUGUGAAAGUGCUCGAAAGAGAACUUGAACACAGGUGCUGCAUGGCCGUCGUCAGCUCGUGUCGUGAGAUGUUGGGUUAAGUCCCGCAACGAGCGCAACCCUUGUCAUUAGUUGCUACGAAAGGGCACUCUAAUGAGACUGCCGGUGACAAACCGGCGGAAGGUGGGGAUGACGUCAGGUCCUCAUGGCCCUUAUGGGUAGGGCUACACACGUCAUACAAUGGCCGGUACAGAGGGCUGCCAACCCGCGACCGGGAGCCAAUCCCAGAAAACUCGUCGUAGUCCGGAUCGCAGUCUGCAACUCGACUGCGUGAAGUCGGAAUCGCUAGUAAUCGCGGAUCAGCCUGCCGCGGUGAAUACGUUCCCUGGUCUUGUACACACCGCCCGUCACACCAUGGGAGCGAGUUCUGCCAGAAGUAGUUAGCCUAACCGCAAGGAGGGCGAUUACCACGGCAGGGUUCGUGACUGGGGUGAAGUCGUAACAAGGUAAC